RNAcentral lists this ribosomal RNA (516 nucleotides) under Conopeum seurati. Its description in RNAcentral is "partial 16S ribosomal RNA". It matches the Rfam family "Bacterial large subunit ribosomal RNA", at positions 1795 to 2624 of the family's 2925-position model. The record is from RNAcentral. Lineage: Eukaryota; Metazoa; Bryozoa; Gymnolaemata; Cheilostomatida; Electridae.
UUCGACUGUUUUNACAAAAACAUAGCUUCUUGAAAUUUUUAGAAGUGACGUCUGCCCGGUGAAUUUAUUUAAACGGCCGCAUAUGUGCUAAGGUAGCAUAAUAAUUUGUCUUUUAAUUGGGGACUAGUAUGAAAGGCAAAACGAAGCCCAGCUGUCUCUUUUAAUUUGUAUUGAAAUUGAUUUAGAAGUGAAAAAUCUUCCAUAGUAUUAUAGGACGAGAAGACCCUGUAGAGUUUUAGUAUACCUAUUCUAAAAUGUUUUUUUAGAAAAUACUUUGAUUGGGGCAAUAGAGGAACAAAAAAAAUCCUCCAAAAAUUAAUAAAUUUUAGAAAUGAUCCUCAAAGAGAAAAAAGAAAAACUACCUCAGGGAUAACAGCGUAAUCCUCCCGAAGAGAUCUAAUCGAGGGGAGGGUUUGCGACCUCGAUGUUGGACUAAGGUUACCUUAAGGUGUAGCAGUCUUAAAGGUGGGCCUGUUCGGCCCAUUAUCCUUACAUGAUUUNGGUUUCAUUCCGUAA